Long non-coding RNA from Suricata suricatta (meerkat), 653 nucleotides. Lineage: Eukaryota; Metazoa; Chordata; Mammalia; Carnivora; Herpestidae. The record is from Ensembl.
GUGCCUGGCCACCUAACCAGUCAAUGGAUCCCAACAAGGCUGCAUGAUACCUCUGAGCUCCACUGGCCCAAAUAUUGAGAUUGUUGAAGGCUCCUGACAACCUUUGCUAUGAACAGGACUGGUUUGGGUCCUGGCUAUUCUCAAGACUCCUUGAGGUUCAGAGGACUAAACCCUAAGAAUCUGGAGAGAAGGAAACCAUAGAUUGGAAGAUUUUCUACAUUAGCACUCAGGAUGGUCAUCACUCUCAGAAUGGAAACUCUUCCGAAAGGAGAAUAUCCUCAUUCUGCAAGCAGAAGCUCCUAUAAGACUGCUUUGUGAGUGCCCUGCAAACUUACUGCCAGUAAGAAGAGAAGAUGCAGCUGCAGGUAUCACGUGUUGUUAUGACAUUGUUGUCCAAAAAAAGGCUGAGGGAUUCUCCAGUGCAGCUUUGCCUGGCAGUGAACACUUCUGAUCAGGGCCUGAAUGGAAGAUUCUAGUGAUUCGAUUACAAACAAAACAAUUGAGUGAAAAAUGCAGUCAGGAUAAUUCCAAGAACAGUCCACGACUGGGAGCAUUGUACCCAGACCCAAGGUCCCCAGCAAUGAUGCACUCACAUCAGGCCUGAUCCUACCAUGAGAAGUUCACAUUUCUACAAUAAAAAAGUUCACAUGUUU